GACGAACGCUGGCGGCGGGCUUAACACAUGCAAGUCGAGCGGAAAGGCUCAAGCUUGCUGGAGUAUUCGAGUGGCGAACGGGUGAGUAACAUGUGGGUGAUCUGCCCUGCACUUCGGGAUAAGCGUGGGAAACUGCGACUAAUACCGGCGAGGACCGCACGAUGGUGGGGGAGGUGGGGAGGUUUUUCUGUGGGGUGAGUAGAUGGCGGCCUAGCUGUUUGGUGGUGGGGUGAUGGGCUACCAAGACGACGCGGGGUAGCCUGACUGGGAGGGUGGAACGCGGCAUUGGGACCGACAGACGGCCCCGAUUCCUAAUGGAGGCAGCAGUGGGGAAUAUUGCACAAUGGGGGCCACCCUGAUGCAGCGACGCCUCGUGGGGGAUGAAGGCCUUCGUGUUGUAAACUGCUUGUGCUAGGGACGAAGCUUUUUGUGACGGUACCUGGAGAAGAAGCACCGGCUAACUACGUG
This 468-nucleotide ribosomal RNA is filed under the name uncultured bacterium. RNAcentral describes it as "partial 16S ribosomal RNA". It matches the Rfam family "Bacterial small subunit ribosomal RNA", at positions 28 to 507 of the family's 1533-position model. The record is from RNAcentral.